Molecule: RNA transcript, 1608 nt
Organism: Musa acuminata AAA Group (dessert banana)
Lineage: Eukaryota; Viridiplantae; Streptophyta; Magnoliopsida; Zingiberales; Musaceae
Gene name: acyl-CoA-binding domain-containing protein 1-like
Exons: 7
Source: RefSeq, a predicted model, not a curated record
GUUUCUCGGUCGCUGUCGUCGGUGUUGGCAAAGAGGCGAACCCUCGCUUCUCCUCCUGCUCUUCCACUCUCGAGGGUUUCUGGGUGGAUUCGUCUCGGGCUUCUUCGAUCGGUCCGGCGACGUUGAGGUCACCGGUUUCUAGGGUUCGUUUGGAAGAAGAAUCGCUCAUCCGAUGCUUUAAUUUUGAUCCCCUUUCUCCAAUUUCGCAUCGUUCUUCGAUUUGGACAUGGGAGAUUGGCUGGAGCUCUGCCAGGCCGUGAUCAUCGGCCUCGUCUGCUCCUUUCUCAUAGCGAAGCUCAUCUCCGUUGCCAUCUCCUUCAAGGAGGACAACCUCAGGGUCGUGCGCGAGCAUGAACUGACCUCCCACACCCCGGGCGACGGUGGGCCUUCGUUGCUUGAUGUUUCGGAGAAGGCGGGAGAAGUAACGGCGCUCUUGGGCAAGGAGAAGGAGAGUCUUUUGGAUGACGACAGUGAUUGGGAAGGGAUCGAGAGCACGGAAUUGGAUGAAACCUUCAGUGCUGCCACAGCUUUUGUCGCUGCAACGGCUGCUGACAAGAAUUCUGCUAAGGUUUCAAAUGAUGUGCAGCUGCUGUUGUAUGGGCUGUACAAGAUUGCAACCGAGGGGCCGUGCACUGUGCCUCAGCCAUCUGCGCUAAAGAUGACUGCUCGUGCGAAGUGGAAUGCCUGGCGGAGAUUGGGUACUAUGCCCCCAGAAGAUUCUAUGCAGAUGUACAUCAUGAUUAUCAGUGAGCUAUACCCUUCUUGGGCAGAUGGUUCCACCAAGAAAAAGAAUGACAAAGAUACUUUGCCAUCUAGUUCAACUGCAAAGGGAACUAUGGGGCCAGUUUUUAGCAGCUUUGUGCAUGAGGAAGAGUCAGAAACUGAUUCAAAGUUGGAACCAAUACAUGGGUUUGCUAGAGACGGAGAAGCUGAUGCGCUAUUGGCUCUUAUUGCUAAUGGUGCUUUGGUGAAUUCUAGAGAUAGUGAAGGGAGGACUCCACUGCACUGGGCUGUAGAUCGUGGACAUUUUAGGGUUGUGGAAAUCCUUCUUAACAAGGAUGCAGAUGUGAAUGCUAAGGAUAACGAUGGACAGACCCCACUGCAUUACGCCGUCCUGUGCGAAAGAGAAGAAAUUGCUGAGCUGCUCAUCGAACACCACGCUGAUCAGCAUAUAAAGGAUAGCGAUGGCAGCUCACCACUUGAUCUAUGCGGAUCUCGAUGGGAUUUCAUGGCGACUUCAAAAUAAACAUUCUUCCAUCAACAAAUGUUGGAAGAUUUCAGUUGACUACAUUUAGAUGUUCACCAGCCUCCGAUGUUUACCGUGAAGUGCUGCAAUGAGGAAUUUGAACCAAAAAUUGCUGCAUGAGGAGGGAAGAUAGGCCAUUCACAGCCGUCCAUUUUGUUGAACGCGAAUGCAUCGACACUCGUUAGAUCAAGAAACUUACACGAUCGAAGGCAAGAUGCGUAUUCUUGAUCUUGAACUUAAUCUGAUUCCAACUACUGAAGUGAGCCCUGAUCUUAUUCGAAAUGACAAAUCCAGACUGUAUGAUUUUUUGUGUUUUCUGACGGAUGGAUUUAAUUAUUUAAUAUAUUCUUAUAUUUAAGGGU